Molecule: ribosomal RNA, 425 nt
Filed under: uncultured bacterium
Lineage: Bacteria
Description: bacterial SSU rRNA
Rfam family: Bacterial small subunit ribosomal RNA
Source: RNAcentral
GUGGGGAAUAUUGGACAAUGGGCGCAAGCCUGAUCCAGCAAUGCCGCGUGAGUGAUGAAGGCCUUAGGGUUGUAAAGCUCUUUCACCGGGGAAGAUAAUGACGGUACCCGGAGAAGAAGCCCCGGCUAACUCCGUGCCAGCAGCCGCGGUAAUACGGAGGGGGCUAGCGUUGUUCGGAAUUACUGGGCGUAAGGCGCGCGUAGGCGGCUUGACAAGUUGGAGGUGAAAGCCCGGAGCUCAACUUCGGAAUUGCCUUCAAGACUGUCUCGCUCGAGGCAGGGAGAGGAGAGCGGAAUACCCAGUGUAGAGGUGAAAUUCGUAGAUAUUGGGUGGAACACCGGUGGCGAAGGCGGCUCUCUGGCCCUGAUCUGACGCUAAGGCGCGAAAGCGUGGGGAGCAAACAGGAUUAGAAACCCGAGUAGUCC